This 492-nucleotide ribosomal RNA is filed under the name uncultured bacterium. RNAcentral describes it as "partial 16S ribosomal RNA". It matches the Rfam family "Bacterial small subunit ribosomal RNA", at positions 29 to 507 of the family's 1533-position model. The record is from RNAcentral.
AGUGAACGCUGGCGGUAUGCCUAACACAUGCAAGUCGAACGACAGCACAAUAAGCGCUUGCUCUUACGGGUGGCGAGUGGCGGAUGGGUGAGGAAUACAUCAGAAUCUACUUUUUCGUGGGGGACAACGUAAGGAAACUUACGCUAAUACCGCAUACGACCUACGGGUGAAAGCAGGGGAUCUUCGGACCUUGCGCGAUUGAUUGAGCCGAUGUCGGAUUAGCUAGUUGGCGUGGUAAAGGCCCACCAAGGCGACGAUCCGUAGCUGGUCUGAGAGGAUGAUCGGCCACACUGGAACUGAGACACGGUCCAGACUCCUACGGGAGGCAGCAGUGGGGAAUAUUGGACAAUGGGCGAAAGCCUGACGCAGCCAUGCCGCGUGGGUGAAGAAGGCCUUCGGGUUGUAAAGCCCUGUUGUUGGGAAAGAAAAGCAGCAGGUGAAUACCCCGCUGUUCUGACGGUACCCAAAGAAUAAGCAACGGCUAACUUCGUG